Molecule: non-coding RNA, 956 nt
Filed under: Napaeozapus insignis (woodland jumping mouse)
Lineage: Eukaryota; Metazoa; Chordata; Mammalia; Rodentia; Dipodidae
Source: RNAcentral
CAAAGGUUUGGUCCUGGCCUUUUCAUUAGUUUUUAGUAAAAUUACACAUGCAAAUAUCCAUAUACCAGUGAGUAAUCCCUCUAGAAUCACUUUGAUCAUGAGGUCGAGAUAUAAAGCUCUCAUUAGAAGCUCAAAACAUCUAGCCUAGCCACGCCCCCACGGGAAACAGCAGUGAUAAAAAUUUAGCAAUAAACGAAAGUUUGACUAAGUUAUACUAAUCAGGGUUGGUUAAUUUCGUGCCAGCCACCGCGGUCAUACGAUUAACCCGAACUAAUGAAUCAACGGCGUAAAAUGUGUUUAAGAACAAAAAAAAACAAUAAGAUUAAACCUCAACUAAUAUGUAACAAUUCUUAGUAACAGGUAAAAUAUACUACUAUAGUGAUCUUAAUACCUCUGAAUACACGAAAGCUAGGGCACAACCCGGGAUUAGAUACCCCAUUAUGCCUAGCCGUUAAUAAAGGUAGUCCCCUAACAAGACUACUCGCCAGGAACUACUAGCUACUGCUUAAAACUCAAAGGACUUGGCGGUACUUUAUAUCUCCCUAGAGGAGCCUGUUCUGUAAUCGAUACACCCCGUUCUACCUCACCUUUUCUUGCUAAUCCAGCUUAUAUACCGCCAUCUUCAGCAAACCCCUAUAGGGCUUUAAAGUAAGCAUAAUCAUUUUUCAAUAAAGACGUUAGGUCAAGGUGUAGCUUAUGAAAAGGAAGCAAUGGGCUACAUUUUCUCUUUGAGAAUCCACACGUUAUUCUUUAUGAAACUAAAGAAUUAAAAAAGGAUUUAGUAGUAAAUUAAGAAUAGAGCGCUUAAUUGAACCGAGCAAUGAAGUACGCACACACCGCCCGUCACCCUCCUCAAAUACCUACCAUAAACUUAUUAUAUAAUUCCAACUACUUAAAGUAUGAGAGGAGACAAGUCGUAACAUGGUAAGCAUACUGGAAAGUGUGCUUGGAUUAAU